RNAcentral lists this ribosomal RNA (240 nucleotides) under Parascaris equorum. RNAcentral describes it as "partial ribosomal RNA". The record is from RNAcentral. Lineage: Eukaryota; Metazoa; Nematoda; Chromadorea; Rhabditida; Ascarididae.
AUAUUGAAAGAAAUGCCAUAUAUGAAAUAUAUACGAUAAGCUAUGAUAGGGGAUAAAUGAGAAGUACUAUCGUACCUUAUUUAGCUUAUCGAUUAUUGAAUAUCUCGUUGCUUGAAUGAGAUAGGAAGAAAAUAUCGAAACAUCAAAAUGAUCGCAAAUGUCAAUUCCAGCGUGUAUUGUAUGCAUAAUAUAGUUGGAAUGAUUGACUAACGCGAUAAUAAUGAUGUUUAUGAAGAAUUU